RNAcentral lists this transfer RNA (88 nucleotides) under Pseudomonadota bacterium. RNAcentral describes it as "tRNA-Ser". It matches the Rfam family "tRNA". Rfam says of the family: Transfer RNA (tRNA) molecules are approximately 80 nucleotides in length. Their secondary structure includes four short double-helical elements and three loops (D, anti-codon, and T loops). Further hydrogen bonds mediate the characteristic L-shaped molecular structure. tRNAs have two regions of fundamental functional importance: the anti-codon, which is responsible for specific mRNA codon recognition, and the 3' end, to which the tRNAs corresponding amino acid is attached (by aminoacyl-tRNA synthetases). tRNAs cope with the degeneracy of the genetic code in two manners: having more than one tRNA (with a specific anti-codon) for a particular amino acid; and 'wobble' base-pairing, i.e. permitting non-standard base-pairing at the 3rd anti-codon position. Lineage: Bacteria; Pseudomonadati; Pseudomonadota. The record is from RNAcentral.
GGAGAGCUGGCAGAGUGGUCGAUUGCACCGGUCUUGAAAACCGGCAACCCGCAAGGGUUCCAGGGUUCGAAUCCCUGGCUCUCCACCA